RNAcentral lists this long non-coding RNA (515 nucleotides) under Betta splendens (Siamese fighting fish). Its description in RNAcentral is "lncRNA (ENSBSLG00000014992.1)". Lineage: Eukaryota; Metazoa; Chordata; Actinopteri; Anabantiformes; Osphronemidae. The record is from RNAcentral.
AUGUGCAUUUCAAACAACGGUGCGUACAAUGCUGGGUUUGUUUCACGGCUCCUGUUGGGAAAAAAAGGACCUAUUCCUAAAGUCCGCCAUCCACUCACUGCAGAGGGCAAAUCCCAGUUGCCCACAUGCAAGGAGGCUGUCAAACAGAGAAAUCACUGCAGACUGUUGGUACACGGACAUCUGCUGCCCAGCUCAGGAGUAAAGUACCUUUUGUUUUGAUGAGGUGAUGGUGAGGACAGCCACAGCUUCCAUCUGGUAGAGGACUGCUUCCGCUCAGUCUUCCUAAUAGUGAUGAGAACAAGGAUCACCACAUCUCCCUGUUUACCCUACUUUCAUGCAUUUCGUCUUCAAGGCCCUGCAAAAGCUUCUGACCUCAAACCCCCAGACCUCUUAAUUAACUCAGUAACCUAUACAUUGCACAUUGGAGUGUGAAGGUAACAGUUUGUUCUAACUUUGGAGUAGUGGUGUAUUUUUUUGGUUUACAAUAAAGUUGGCUUUAACUAUUAUGUAUUUCA